Mesocricetus auratus (golden hamster) is the source of this 1084-nucleotide long non-coding RNA. RefSeq lists it as uncharacterized. Lineage: Eukaryota; Metazoa; Chordata; Mammalia; Rodentia; Cricetidae. The record is from RefSeq and is a predicted model, not a curated record. The transcript is spliced from 4 exons.
CGGUUGGAUCUGGGAGAGUUUGUGCCUUUGGAGCCGUCUCUGCCUUGGGAGCUCCAAAUCAUUAUUUUCUCAGUACCUUUAUUCUGUAGCCUCUCUUCUCAACCCGCUCCUGCUCUGUUUAUUGAUGUUUGUGAACUAAUUUUAGCAACUCAUCAGGAGUUGCACUCAGGGUAAUUUUACACCCCUGAAACCUGGCAGACACAAGCUGCAGAAUUUGCGGAAAGAGCUGCGUGGGUCACAAUUUACAACCUUCGUUGAUGGAAACCCAGGCUCCAAGGACAACCUGCUCAGGAGCAGCAUGGCACACAAUGGUCUGGACCCUCCUCUGUCAACCAACAAUCAAGAAGAUAAUCCACAGACACCCCCACAGGCCAAUGUGAUGAAGGUUCCCUGGGGUUGUGGCUUGCAGGCUGACUGUCCUUUGCUUUAUGUCUAAUAUCCACGUAUGCAUUUAUAUUACGUGCAUGUCUUUGCCUACUCGCCCUCACUGUUGAUGGCAAGUCCAUUGUCAUGUUGUCACAGCAUCCAUCACUGAUAUUAGAACUGGAUUCUUCAGGUUACCAAUGCAGAAUGAAGACCGGCAUCUCUCCAGGAGACAUUCAGGCCUCCAGUGCUAAACUAGGACCUCUGAGACAGCCAGUCUCGUGGACUGGACAACUCCCAGAUUCUCAGCUACUCUAUUGUGAGACGGGCAUUGUUGCACUCCCUAGACCAUAUCCUGUAAGCCAAGUUAAUAUAUUAGCAAAUCCCAUCUAGAGAGAUGCUACUUUAGGGAACCAUAUCUGGUUUGAGAUGGUAACACAAGAAUGUGGCUAGAAUUGUGAGGUUUUCUGUGAGCACUAAGAGGAACCUGGCAAAGCGUCUAAGAAGAAAUGUUUCUGUAAGUAGUGUUGCUAAAAGAGACUGUCUUGCAAGUAAAGUUUGUGGAAAGAAGUUUUGCUGUCAUUUUUUCUGAUGCUCUAUAGCUUUACUCUGGCUUCUAGAAUUCUGUGAGUUACAAAGGGCAGGACAUCAUGACUUGUUGAAUGCUGAUUGCUUCACCUUUCUCUGACCAUUACUGGAAAUAAAUUAAGAUAAAACUGCA